CUACGGGAGGCAGCAGUGGGGAAUCUUGCACAAUGGAGGAAACUCUGAUGCAGCGAUGCCGCGUGAGUGAAGAAGGCCCUUGGGUUGUAAAGCUCUUUCGUCGGGGAAGAAAAUGACUGUACCCGAAUAAGAAGGUCCGGCUAACUUCAUGCCAGCAGCCGCGGUAAUACGAAGGGACCUAGCGUAGUUCGGAAUUACUGGGCUUAAAGAGUUCGUAGGUGGUUGAAAAAGUUAGUGGUGAAAUCCCAGAGCUUAACUCUGGAACUGCCAUUAAAACUUUUCAGCUAGAGUAUGAUAGAGGAAAGCAGAAUUUCUAGUGUAGAGGUGAAAUUCGUAGAUAUUAGAAAGAAUACCAAUUGCGAAGGCAGCUUUCUGGAUCAUUACUGACACUGAGGAACGAAAGCAUGGGUAGCGAAGAGGAUUAGAUACCCUCGUAGUCCAUGCCGUAAACGAUGUGUGUUAGACGUUGGAAAUUUAUUUUCAGUGUCGCAGCGAAAGCGAUAAACACACCGCCUGGGGAGUACGACCGCAAGGUUAAAACUCAAAGGAAUUGACGGA
RNAcentral lists this ribosomal RNA (558 nucleotides) under uncultured bacterium. RNAcentral describes it as "bacterial SSU rRNA". It matches the Rfam family "Bacterial small subunit ribosomal RNA", at positions 339 to 917 of the family's 1533-position model. The record is from RNAcentral.